Molecule: long non-coding RNA, 2459 nt
Filed under: Medicago truncatula (barrel medic)
Lineage: Eukaryota; Viridiplantae; Streptophyta; Magnoliopsida; Fabales; Fabaceae
Description: lncRNA gene22012
Source: RNAcentral
CCGCUGUGAAAUUUAACCGUUGAAACGCCGUUAACUUCCACGGUCCAACUUCGCCGUUAGCGUCAUUACCGUUAAAUCGACGGUUAUAGUUUGUUUGAAAACACCGUGUUCCGGCGACGAGGACGAAGAGUCCGAUCCCAAACGCGGCGGCGAUGAUCCAAACAAUUGCGCCGGCGGUUUUCUUCGGUUGUUGACGGUGAACUUGGAGUUCGUUUUCGCCGGAGGUGACUGCUUCAUCGGCGCAGGGUUUGGCUAAGAGAACACCACAGAGAUUUUCAUUGCCGGAGUAGGAAGAAGGAUGGAGGCUUUGGAAGACGCCGGAGGAAGGGAUUGCUCCGGUAAGGGAAUUGAAACUGAUGUUGAAAUUUUCGAGAGUUGAGCAAUUGUUGAAGCUUGAUGGAAUUGUUCCAGUGAGUGAGUUUUGCGAGAGAUCAACGUCGGUGAUUGAAGGAAGAGUUGAGAUUUCGUAAGGAAUGAUUCCGGUGAGGUUGUUUUUGCUUAGGUUUAACUGAAGCAGUUUUUCGCAAUCACCAAUGUUCCAUGGAAUUGUGCCGGUGAUUGAAUUUCCUUGUAAUUCGAUCUUGUAGAUCGAUUUGCAAUCAGAAAAAUCGGGAAUUUGACCGGUGAUUUUCGAGAAUGAAGCUGAGAAAAUCUGAAGAUUACUUGAAUUCCAAAUGCUGUUAGGUAAUUCGCUUUCAAAAGAGUUUCCUGAGAUGUUUAGAUAUUGUAGGCUCCCAAAUUCUUGAGGAAUUUCCCCUUUGAAAUUGUUGUUGCUUAAAUCAAGGUAGGUUAAAUUUGGAAGCAUUGUAAGUGUUUGUGGAAUUGACCCAUUGAGAUUGUUGUUUUGGAUACGAACUCGAAUGAGUGAGGUGCAAUUUGUGAGUGAUGAUGGAAGGUUAUUGGUGAAUUUGUUGUUGAAGAUAUUGAAUUUUACAAGAUUGUUUCCUUUGCAAAUGUUGAUAGGGAUUGAACCUUGGAGCGAGUUUGUGGAAACAUCGAGUAAUUGUAGUAACCCGUUAGAACCGAGUUUUGGUGGUAAUGCACCGGUGAAUGAGUUGUUGAAAAUAUGGAAAGUGUUGAGUUUUGGAAGGUCACCAAUUUCUUGUGGAAUUUCACCUUUUAGCUUGUUAUACAUGAGCCUCAAAUCUACUAUCUCCUUCAACAUUGUUAUUUCUGAUGGAAUCGAACCAGUGAGUUCAUUUUCCGAUAAAUCAAGAGCUUGCAAUGAUUUCAACUUUCCUAUGCUUGAUGGGAUUUCACCAUGUAAAUGAUUUUUGAAGAGAAGCAGUGUUUCAAGCAUGGAUAAGUUACCUAGUUCAGGAAUCACUUGACCAGAAAUGUUGGCACCUGAGAUAUCCAAGUACUUGAGAUUAGACAACAUUGUUAAUUCCACUGGUAUUGCUCCUGAGUAGGAGUUGUAUCCGAUUUCCAAGCGUUGUAACUCUGAUAAUAAGCCUAGUUGAGGUGGUAGUGAACCUUCCAAUGCAUUACCAGCCAAAUAAAGAAAUUUGAGUCUUUUGAAAGUUCCAUAACUUUGAGGGAUUUUGCCACUGAAGUAGCUUCCACCGAGGUUAAGGUGUUCUAAAAAAGGUAGCCUGAUAAAUUCUUCGGGGAGAGGGCCUACGAAACUGUUACUGUAAGCAUUGAAGACUCUUAAGAAUCUAAGCUUUGAAAUUCCAGGUGGGAAAGUUGAGUUGAAUGAGUUAUGGCUGAUGUCCAGUGUUCUAAGCUCAUUGAGUUGAAAAAUUGCUGUUUGGAAAGUUCCAUUGAAGUCAUUUCCACUAAUGUUCAAGUGAGUUAACGUAGUUAAGUAGCGGAUUUUGGGCGAGAUUAUGCCUGAAAGGUUGAGGUUAGAGAGAUUAAGGGAAGUAAUUUGAGCUGUUUUUGGGUGGCAAUUGAUUCCUGUCCAAGAACACCAAAUUGGGUCUUGCUGGUUAUUGGAAUCAGAAGGGUUAUUUUUCCAAUCAUUGAGAUGAUUUAGAGGGUCAAUGAGGGAGGAUUUUAUUGAGAGGAGGCUUAUGAGUUGAAAGGGAAUAGUUGUUGUGGCAGAGGAAACUAGUGGUAGCAACUGUGUUUGGGAAAAGAAUAAGAAUGUGAUGAGAAAGAAAAGAAAAGGUUUCAUUGUUUUGGAAUUGUGGGGAUUGUGAAUGAGAAGGUUGUGUUCAAUGAGGUAAAUUUAAGGGUAAGAAGAUUUUGAUGAGGAAUGUAUUCACUUUUUUGGAGUGCUUGCUGCAGAGGGAGUUUCAUCAUGAUAAUUUGCUUAGGUGGUAGACAUGAAUGAAUUAGAGAGAGAGAGAGAGAGAUAUAGAGAGAGAGAAUGAGAAAAACUAUAGUUAUAGUACUUCACCUUCUAUAUACCCUAUAUGGUUCCAUCAAUCUAUACAUUCUCUUACUUUUUUCUUACAUCAGUAUAAUACCUUUGUCUGAUAUAUCUCUAUUCCAUUCAUACUUUUAAAUUU